ACGAAGGAUUGAUGGAUGAACAGCGAACACUUAUUUUUAAUGGUUCCAGAAGCUGCAAGUGUGACAGCGAGGCCAGCGUGGCCCGGUUGCGUUUCUGGUGCUGGUUCCUGUGACCAGGCUCCGCCCUCAGGAUUUGUCCUGAACUCCGGAAGCCAUUGCACGGCAGGUGAAGUGUGCACUGUGCCUGGCAGGGGUUCGGAGAGGCAUGGAGACAGGCCCAGUCCCUGCCAGGCAAUGUUUGGCUCUCCCGUCCCUGACGCCGGGCCCAGCGGAGAUACCCCAGCCGUCCCAGAGGCAGCCUGGGUGCUGGCGCUUUUAAGAGCUUCACAGGCUCAUGCUCAGAACGGCCCCUCCGGAGACUCCGAUUUGCACAGCUGGUUACUGGGAAGAAAGUGGGUGGAGUGAAUUCAGGGCCUCCAUUCUGGGAGAGGCCUGCACCCACCCUGCUCACCUGCCCACGCUGAAACCCUGCUGUCUCCUCUUAAAGCUAGGGAAGGCAAUGGUGUCCUGAAACACAAAUUUCCACCACGGAAAAGGGAACUGAUUCUUGACAGUGUGUGCUACGUGUUCCAAAGGGAGCGCUAGUUUCAGGGUUUUAUCACAUGACUCUGGGUCCUUGAUAAGAAAGUAAAAAUUUUUAAACAAUAUUUCACGACAUGGUUAUUUGGAAAAGGAAAAGUGUGGUAUGGGUUACUCUGAAAUUGGAGUCAAUAACUCCAAAGUUCUGUGAUCUGCAGUGAAUGAUUAUUGUAAGCACAUAUUUUCUUGCUAACCUGUUAGUGCUGCCGAGGGCAGACCUCGAUACCUGCCGUCAAGACUCCCUGUCUGCCCAGGGCUGGAACCCAUGUGGACAUGACGUGCUCGCUAUGAUGCAUUUCUGAUACAGCCCCAGUCUCUGGCCAUCCAGUGCCUCGAGAAGCCUUGCUGCAAUGGGGCUGGCACCAGGUCUCUAACUCUGCCUCUGUCCGCCAGGGCCACUGCGAGCUGCUGCUGCUGGGGCAGGAGGAUAAUACAGGUGGUGACAGGUCUCCCACUACCCCAGCAGCUAUUAUGUACAGUAGCUGCCCUCUUCCCAUCGUGCCUUGCCCCCUCCCCUGUGUGACGUCAUGCCAAGAUGGCUGCUCCCACCAAAGAACAAACCCUUCUUCCCAGCAUGCCCCUGUUCCCACCUAGAGAGUAACCUAAUACUCACUCACCUCCUACCACCUAGUGACGUCACCGGCUCCUCCAUUCCCUAGUCACUACCUCACUCAACCCCACCUCAGCCCCUACAAACCCCACCCCAGUCUAUAAAAGACUCUCCCUGCCCCGGCCAUAUUGCUUUUGUCUCUCCUUUGUUUAGAGACAGCUCAGCAGAUCUAUUCCCCUAAUAAAGGCUUGUUGUGGCCUGGUCUGGUCUUGGUCUUCGGCCUUUUACCUGACGGGUGGGGCCCAGUCCAGGGUGCAAAUCCCUCCUUGGCCGACCCUGCCCUAAACUGAGGCUUCUCCCUUAUCUAGCCGACCUUACCCUAAAUUUACGCUUUCUAACCUGAGUUAUAGACCAAUCAGUAGUAAUGAUAUCAUAUUAACCAAUCAACUGCUUGCUCUGCUUCUGUACUAGUUCUUGCUUGCAAACCCUAUAUAAACACUAGGUGGACAAAAGACAGCUGCCUGGUUCUUUGAGGAAUUAUUCCGACCAGGCCCAUCAACGUAAAUAAAGUGUGCUUUCUGCCUCUAAGUCCUUGGU
Long non-coding RNA from Heterocephalus glaber (naked mole-rat), 1726 nucleotides. The record is from Ensembl. Lineage: Eukaryota; Metazoa; Chordata; Mammalia; Rodentia; Bathyergidae.